CCUACGGGUGGCAGCAGUGGGGAAUAUUGCACAAUGGGCGAAAGCCUGAUGCAGCAACGCCGCGUGAGCGAUGAAGGCCUUCGGGUCGUAAAGCGCUGUCCUCAAGGAAGAUAAUGACGGUACUUGAGGAGGAAGCCCCGGCUAACUACGUGCCAGCAGCCGCGGUAAUACGUAGGGGGCUAGCGUUAUCCGGAAUGACUGGGCGUAAAGGGUGCGUAGGUGGUUUGUUGAGGCAGGGGUGAAAGGCUACGGCAAAACCGUAGUAUACCUGUGAAACUGGGAAACUUGAGUGCAUGAGAGGAAAGUGGAAUUCCUAGUGUAGCAGUGAAAUGCGUAGAUAUUAGAAGGAACACCAGUUGCGAAGGCAGGUCUCUGGACUGUAACUGACACUGAGGCACGAAAGCGUAGGGAGCAAACAGGAUUAGAUUCCCUGGUAGUC
RNAcentral lists this ribosomal RNA (439 nucleotides) under uncultured bacterium. RNAcentral's name for it is "partial 16S ribosomal RNA". It matches the Rfam family "Bacterial small subunit ribosomal RNA", at positions 338 to 795 of the family's 1533-position model. The record is from RNAcentral.